UAGCAAGUAGAACCAACAAAGUAGAUACACCAAUCAAAUAUUCAAGUGACAUGACUAUACUAUUGAACUUGUUUUAAACAAGGAGCAGGUUGGGACAUGCAGUUGGCUACUCUUGUUUCUUUGUCAUUGCAGGCUGGUGGAGGAGACAUUUGGGACCGGAGGCAACAAGGAAAAGGAAGAAUUCCACACAUCAAAUCAAGAAUAAAGUGGAACACAGAUGAGUUGUCUGUUCAUAAUUUAUCUGCAGGGUGGAUGUAAAGAGUAAACCGGAGGGGGCAGAGUACGGAGCUUUGCGAUUUGCUUUGGUUGACCGGAGCGACGGAAGGUAGUUUGGCGUUUGCGAGGGCAGACGUAGAAAGUGUCGGUAGAGCCGAGGGAUAGAUACGUCGGUGCGGUGAAGUGGUCUCUUGCGAAGGAGGUUUUGAGACGGUCUGAAGUGUACAGUACAGGGUUUGAGGGAGGAGUCCAUAUUGAGCAAUAAACACAAAUGUACUAACCUGGGGUCUUUUUUUUUUUUUUUUUUUGUAUGCUGGCCAGCUCCUUUGUGUCGUUUUGUUAAAUUGCAGUUUGCCUUGUUUGACUGUCGCUACGGAAGGGUAGUUUGGUGGUAGGUCUGGUUGUAAUGAGGGCAGGCAUGGAAAGUGUCAGUUGAGCUGACGGUCGGGUUCGGCGGUCUUUGCGAAGGAAGGAAGGUCGAGACGGUCCGCAGGUUGUUCGGUCCGGAGUCGCUUUGUUUGGAGUCGCGAACAGUGCAGCCCUUUGAAUGAGGAAUUGCUAUCGAUCCAUACGAUGCUUCAGGACGACUACGCCACAACGGCAAUCCAGAACAAAGGUGGAAAUGCUGUGGAGUUUCAAGAGCAAAGCACCAAUUUUACGGGGAGAGUAUAACUUAGUUACUCUUAGUGUUUGUGUCCACUUCCUCACGAACUCACUGGGUGUGCAUGGACUAACACCAUUUUCUGUGUGUGUACUGAGAUGUGCAUCAUGUCAAGGCAACAAUGCUGAAACAUAUUGGUCAGUAAAAUACUUUUGAAAAAAUGUUUUUGCUUGUGUGUUGGGUUUUGGAGGGAAUGGUGAAAGUACGAAAUUUGCUUUGACGACUUGAAUUAAAAUUAUAAAAAUGUUAGGAAGUGGGACGAACUGGACAAACAUACACAACGUAGAAUAAGAGUUAAAUAAAGUGCAAGGCAGUCCCCCCUACCCCCAUUUAGGACUGACAUGACAAGUGACGUAAUGCAGUAAUAUAAUUUUUUUUCCUCCCUGUUAUUGCAUGGUAGAGAAGCAGGCUGUGAUGGGAGGUAGCAAGUAGAACCAACAAAGUAGAUACACCAAUCAAAUAUUCAAGUGACAUGACUAUACUAUUGAACUUGUUUUAAACAAGGAGCAGGUUGGGACAUGCAGUUGGCUACUCUUGUUUCUUUGUCAUUGCAGGCUGGUGGAGGAGACAUUUGGGACCGGAGGCAACAAGGAAAAGGAAGAAUUCCACACAUCAAAUCAAGAAUAAAGUGGAACACAGAUGAGUUGUCUGUUCAUAAUUUUUCUGCAGGGUGGAUGUAAAGAGUAAACGAGAGGGGCCAGAGUACGGAGCUUUGUGGUUUGCCUUGGUUGACUGUAAUGAUGGAAGGUAGUUGUUUGGUGUUCGCAAGGUCUCAUUUGUAAAGAGGGCAGGCAUGGAAAGUGUUUGUAGAGCUGAUGGGUGGACAUGGUUUGGUUUGUGUUCUUUGCGAAGGAAGGAAGGUUGAGAUGGUCUGCAGGUUGUUUGGCUCGUCUUGGUCCAGAGUCGCUUUGUUUGGAGUUGUGAACAGUGCAGCCUUUGAAUGAGGAAUUCAUAUCGAUCAGUAUAAUGUUUCAGGAUGACACAACAGGUACGCAGUCCCAAGAUAAACAUAUUUUUCCUUCAGGUGAGUGUGCGAUUAAUGUGCAUUAACAGCUAUGCAAACACAAGUUAAGGUGUCUUUUGUUUUGUUUUUUGCAGCAAUCCAGAACAAAGGUGGAAAUGCUGUGGAGUUUCAAGAGCAAAGCACCAACUUUACGGGGAGAGUAUAACUUAGUUACUCUUAGUGUUUGUGUCCACUUCCUCACGAACUCACUGGGUGUGCACGGACUAACACCAUUUUUUGUGUGUGUACUGAGAUGUGCAUCAUGUUAAGGCAACAAUGCUGAAACAUUGUGGUCAGUAAAAUGUACUUUUGGGAAAAAACUGUUUUUAUUUGUGUGUUGGGGGGUUUGGGAUGGAAUGGUGAAAGUUGUUCUCAAUGUGCUUUGAUGACUUGAAUUAAAAUUCUAAAAAGAUUAGGAAGUGGGACUACAUGCACAUACAGAUAAGAGCCAGAUGGGACAAGGAAAAGAGACAAUCCAUCAAAUCAAGAAUCAAGCAUCACACAAGUUGUCUGAGGAGCAUGUAGAUGUUGAACAGGACUGGGCAGAGUCGUGAGGUUUGUGGCACACCUUGGUUGACGAUACCCAUGGGUGGUGAUUGUCAUGGUAAAAAAGGUCUUUUAACGAGGGCAGGUGUGAAGAGUGUUCAUCGGGUUGAUGGUUGGCCACGGUCGUGCAGUCAAGUGGUGUUGGCAGGAUCUCGCUUUAUACGGGCCGGCAUUUGUUUGACUUUUCUGCAGCCAGAACAGCUUGUUUUGAGGGAGGGGCAUAUUGAGCAAUAAACACAAAUGUACUCAUCUGCGGUCUUUUUUUUCUGUCUGUCAUUGUUGUACAGUUUUGUCGCCGAGUGUUGAUUUUGUUUUUGUUGCAGGGCAGCAGUGAAGUGGAAUGAGUUGAGAGGCACAAAGAACCACUGCGAAUGACUGGCAGCUUCAACAUCUUGAGGAAAAUCUACAGUAAGUAAUAAGUAAAUACACACAAUGAUGUGAGCUAGCAAAAAACAAAUUAUACAGUGUCUUUAGCAGGGUGGAAGGUGCGCCGGUUGGGACGCAACGCAGAGCAAGGUUAACCAACAAAGUAGACACUCCAAUCAUUAUUCAACUAUACUAUUGAAUUUGUUUUAAACAAUCAUGUAGGAAAUGCAGGAGGCUACUAUAGUUUGUUUGUCAUCACAGGCUGGAGGAGACAUUUGUGACAGGAAGCACCAAGGAGAACCAGAGCGGGGGAAGAAGUACCAAGGUUCCAAGAAAGACUUACUUCAGAGGAAUGAUGUGUUUGUUUUGUGGAGCGGUAGAGUUGUUCUGAUAAAAGGAAAGGCUGGCCAAAGGUAACAAAAUAUGUGGCAGAACUUUUUUUCAUUUUUUUUUGCAGGGCUCAGAAGUAGCUGGAUGGGAUGAGGAAAAGGAACAAUUCCACACCAAGAAUAAAGCGGCACACAGAUGAGUUUUCUGUUCAUAAUUUAUCUGCAGGGUGGAUGUAAAGAGUAAACCGGAGGGGGCAGAGUACGGAGCUUUGCGGUUUGCUUUGGUUGACCGGAGCGACGGAAGGUAGUUUGGCGUUUGCGAGGGCAGACGUAGAAAGUGUCGGUAGAGCCGAGGGAUGGAUACGUCGGUGCGGUGAAGUGGUCUCUUGCGAAGGUUUUGAGACGGUCUGAAGCGUACAGUACAGGGUUUGAGGGAGGAGUCCAUAUUGAGCAAUAAACACAAAUGUACUAACCUGGGGUCUUUUGUUUCGGUAUGCUGGCCAGCUCCUUUGUGUGGUUUUGUUAAAUUGCAGUUUGCCUUGUUUGACUGUCGCUACGGAAGGGUAGUUUGGUGGCAGGUCUGGUCGUAAUGAGGGCAGGCAUGGAAAGUGUCAGUUGAGCUGAAGGUCGGGUUCGGCGGUCUUUGCGAAGGAAGGAAGGUCGAGACGGUCCGCAGGUUGUCCGGCCCGUCUCGGUCCGGAGUCGCUGUGUUUGGAGUUGCGAACAGUGCAGCCCUUUGAAUGAGGAAUCGUCAUAUUGAUCAACACAAAUCAACAUUUUUCCUUUGUUUUUUUCUUUUUAACCCAGGGUGAAGACCAACAAAUGGCACACAUCGACGAGAUGACCAGCUUCUUGUCCCUUGAGAACGAAGGUGGAAAUGCUGCACUGCUGAAAGAGCCAAGCACUCACUCUGUACAGGGAGUAUGUCUUCGUUCCAUUUAGUGGUUCUGUCCGCUUUCCCACCAACUCACUGGGUGUGCAUGAACUGACGCAGUCGAUUUGUGGUUUUUCUACUGUGCUCUGCGUCGUGGCGCCAAUGAUGAAAAGUGUUUCAAUA
Molecule: long non-coding RNA, 4178 nt
Organism: Phycodurus eques (leafy seadragon)
Lineage: Eukaryota; Metazoa; Chordata; Actinopteri; Syngnathiformes; Syngnathidae
Exons: 3
Source: RefSeq, a predicted model, not a curated record